RNAcentral lists this ribosomal RNA (320 nucleotides) under uncultured soil bacterium. RNAcentral's name for it is "bacterial SSU rRNA". It matches the Rfam family "Bacterial small subunit ribosomal RNA", at positions 26 to 372 of the family's 1533-position model. The record is from RNAcentral.
AGAACGAACGCUGGCGGCAUGCCUAAUACAUGCAAGUCGAACGAAGGCUUCGGCCUUAGUGGCGCACGGGUGCGUAACGCGUGGGAAUCUGCCCCUUGGUUCGGAAUAACAGUUGGAAACGACUGCUAAUACCGGAUGAUGACGAAAGUCCAAAGAUUUAUCGCCAAGGGGAUGAGCCCGCGUAGGAUUAGCUAGUUGGUGAGGUAAAGGCUCACCAAGGCGACGAUCCUUAGCUGGUCUGAGAGGAUGAUCAGCCACACUGGGACUGAGACACGGCCCAGACUCCUACGGGAGGCAGCAGGUAGGGAAUAUUGGACAAU